AACAAACACACACAAAUUCCUAUCCUCAUGUUCAUAUGAGUAGGAAAAGCAAAUAAUGUGGUAAAUAAAAUAUAAAAGUUUGUUAGUAGUUACUUCUAAAAAGAAAAUUAAUACAGAAAGGGCCUCUGGAUAGAACAUGCCAGUGAUAGUCGAAUUGCAACUCAGGUGCAGGAUCAAACUAGAGAGAUGUUCUCCUUGUCUUGCCUCCUCCUAAAAUUGUGCUCCAGGAAAGAUAUUCCCUAGUUGUAGAGUAUACACCAGAGCCUGUGAGGGAUAGUGAUAAGUGAGUGGACACAUUACUGCAAAAAGUGACCGCAGGACUACAAGAAGAGCUGCAAAUAUGAAGACAAAACAACAUGGGACCAUUGUGAUGUGAGGACAUAGCAAGGAGGAAGCUGUCUGCAAGCCCAGAAGAGACCCCUCACCACACCAUGCUGGCAUCCUAACCUCAAACUUCCAGACUCCAGAACGUUGGAAAAAUAAAUUCCUGUCAUUACAUCCACCUAGUCUAUGGUAUUUUGUAUGGCAGCUGAUUAGACACUGGCACUUCUGCUUUUGUUCUUAGCCUAUAAUACUGCUAUUGAACACUACUCCCACACAUUCUGUGGAAUACCUGUUCAUAGCAGGAGUUCUACUCCUGGUGACCCAGAUCACUACACCAAUCCUGGCAUUGGGUUUCAAUGUUAUAGCUCAUUACAUUUCACUCUCAAAUGCUCAGCUUAUACUCCCACAGCAGUGAAAUUGACUCUAGAAAAGACUGCCAG
This 764-nucleotide long non-coding RNA is filed under the name Homo sapiens (human). Its description in RNAcentral is "HSALNT0057149". The record is from RNAcentral. Lineage: Eukaryota; Metazoa; Chordata; Mammalia; Primates; Hominidae.